AACCUCCGCAAUGUGAGAAAUCGCGACGGGGGGAUCCCAAGUGCCAUUCUUAACGGGAUGGCUUUUCAUUAGUGUAAAGAGCUUUUGGAAUAAGGGCUGGGCAAGACCGGUGCCAGCCGCCGCGGUAACACCGGCAGCUCUAGUGGUAGCAGUUUUUAUUGGACCUAAAGCGUCCGUAGCCGGUUUAAUAAGUCUCUGGUGAAAUCCUGUAGCUUAACUGUGGGAAUUGCUGGAGAUACUAUUAGACUUGAGACCGGGAGAGGUUAGAGGUACUCCCAGGGUAGAGGUGAAAUUCUGUAAUCCUGGGAGGACCGCCUGUUGCGAAGGCGUCUAACUGGAACGGUUCUGACGGUGAGGGACGAAAGUUAGGGGCGCGAACCGGAUUAGAUACCCGGGUAGUCCUAACUGUAAACGAUGCGGACUUGGGGUUGGGGUGGCUUUGAGCUGCUCCAGUGCCGAAGGGAAGCUGUUAAGUCCGCCGCCUGGGAAGUACGGUCGCAAGACUAAAACUUAAAAGGAUG
RNAcentral lists this ribosomal RNA (521 nucleotides) under uncultured bacterium. Its description in RNAcentral is "bacterial SSU rRNA". It matches the Rfam family "Archaeal small subunit ribosomal RNA", at positions 345 to 866 of the family's 1478-position model. The record is from RNAcentral.